UACGAAGGGGGCUAGCGUUGUUCGGAAUCACUGGGCGUAAAGCGCACGUAGGCGGCUUGUUAAGUCAGAGGUGAAAGCCUGGAGCUCAACUCCAGAACUGCCUUUGAUACUGGCAAGCUCGAGGAUAGCAGAGGUUGGUGGAACUCCGAGUGUAGAGGUGAAAUUCGUAGAUAUUCGGAAGAACACCAGUGGCGAAGGCGGCCAACUGGGCUAUUACUGACGCUGCGGUGCGAAAGCGUGGGGAGCAAACAGG
Molecule: ribosomal RNA, 253 nt
Filed under: uncultured bacterium
Lineage: Bacteria
Description: partial 16S ribosomal RNA
Rfam family: Bacterial small subunit ribosomal RNA
Source: RNAcentral